GAUGAACGCUGGCGGCGUGCUUAACACAUGCAAGUCGAACGAAGCACUUAAGAUUGAUUCUUCGGAUGACGUCUUUUGUGACUUAGUGGCGGACGGGUGAGUAACGCGUGGGUAACCUGCCUCACACAGGGGGAUAACAGUUAGAAAUGACUGCUAAUACCGCAUAACCCGAUAGGAUCGCAUGAUCCAGACGGAAAAGAUUUAUCGGUGUGAGAUGGACCCGCGUCUGAUUAGCUAGUUGGUGAGGUAACGGCCCACCAAGGCGACGAUCAGUAGCCGGGCGGGGAGGGUGAACGGCCACAUUGGGACUGAGACACAGCCCAGACUCCUACGGGAUGCAGCAGUGGGUAAUAUUGCACAAUGGGGGGAACCCUGAUGCAGCGACGCCGGGAGAGUGAAGAAGUUUGUCGGUAUGUAAAGCUCUAUCAACAGUGAAGAUAAUGACGGUACCUGACCAAAAAGCCCCGGCUAACUACGUG
This 479-nucleotide ribosomal RNA is filed under the name uncultured bacterium. RNAcentral describes it as "partial 16S ribosomal RNA". It matches the Rfam family "Bacterial small subunit ribosomal RNA", at positions 28 to 507 of the family's 1533-position model. The record is from RNAcentral.